Molecule: small nucleolar RNA, 72 nt
Filed under: Ictidomys tridecemlineatus (thirteen-lined ground squirrel)
Lineage: Eukaryota; Metazoa; Chordata; Mammalia; Rodentia; Sciuridae
Description: Spermophilus tridecemlineatus (thirteen-lined ground squirrel) Small nucleolar RNA U3
Rfam family: Small nucleolar RNA U3 (bases 1-41)
About the family: Small nucleolar RNAs (snoRNAs) are involved in the processing and modification of rRNA in the nucleolus. There are two main classes of snoRNAs: the box C/D class, and the box H/ACA class.
Source: Rfam by way of RNAcentral
AAGACUAUACUUUCAGGGAUCAUUUCUAUAGUAUGUUACUAUAUCCUGUAGAGCAAGAUUAGCUAUUCUUAU